GAAAGGCAUGCCAAAGUGCUCUAUGAAAUUUCACUCUGUCCUUUCUGAGGCCAGCUAGAUGCCCAUGAAUCAGUUGCAACAGACAGAUACCCAAACCUGGCCAGCAAACAGCUUAUAAAUGUGAAAGAAGAAAUUAUGGGAUCAAAAACACAGCUUUCAUGACCAUCCUGUGCACUAGACAAGGAGGAUCUAAUUACUGAGGAUUUAAGUGACUUGCCCCAACUGAGCUGCUGACAGAGCCAGACCACUGCUCCUUCACCCAACCACACUGACCCUCUGCAGCCAUAGGAAAUUGUGGACUCUUAUUUGUGAAUUAAAAGGGUGUGUAGCAGGAAGAAUCAUUUAUAUUCAUAGAAACAUCGAAUAUUACAGCAUGCUACUUUAUAUCAACUGAUUCAUACCUUCAAGGAGCAAAUUAGAAAAUAAGACAAAGGAGAUGUAGCAAAGCUUUAAACACAACUUUUAAUUCAUUACAACAGCAACAAGUAAGACAUAAACGACUACUAUCUAUUACCUACCUAUAAGAGUAAAGAUGAGACUGAUUUGUAACAAAAGUGAAUUUGGGUUUGUUUGCUUGAUUCUUUUCACAUCUCGUGGCAAAGGUGAACAAAAUUAUAAGGAAAUUUUCAGAAUCUUUAUUCUUACAGACUUUUAAAAUAUAAUACUCGAUAUAAGUAAGUCUCCUGUUCCCUCUUUCCUGACUAUAUCUCAUUCUCUUUUCUAGUGAUAGAGAGCUGAAAUAAUCAGCCAUCUUAAAAGUAACUUCCAGGUCUUUAAUCUUACAAUUUCUGGAACCUUCCUCCCUGUUUUCUUUAAACUAUAUUAAAGCUCCCUCCCUGCCUUUAGCUAUUCCUUUAAAAAUGUACAUCUCCAAAUUUUGCUGGUCUCCUCUUCAACCAGAAGCAGUCAGGAUCACGUUUUAUGGAAUAAGGCUACCAGCAGGAAUCUGAAGAAUCCUCAGGUCAAGCACUUCUCAACCAUUAUGUUUCUUUCAACAGCUAGGUUACAACCUCCUGGCCAUAAGAAAAAUUGCCUCAAGUCUUACCUUAAUUCUUCCAUUUUAAGAUAAUUUCAGGUAACAGCACAUAUUUGUUUGAGAGUCCACUGUACCAUUCUCCUUUUUCUGAUUAAAUAAAUGCUACCCUGAUUUUUUUUUAAUUUCAAGUUUCUCUUCAAACCUGUAUUACUCUUUAUUAAUGAUCAAGUGCAAAAUUACUUAUGAUCAUUGUAAAAGGAUCCUUCUAGAUUCAAAAGUUUCUCAAGAUGGGUGUUUUUGCUUUUUUUUUUUUUUUUCUGCCACGUUUGUCAAAUAUUUCCUGAGACCUAUUUUAAAAUAAUAUAAUGUGGUGAAUCAAAUUAAACUUUUGGUGUUCUCUGUACAACAAUAUUCUAAAUGACUGCUACUGGAAAUGACUUUUGAACACAUUUUAUGGCCCAUAUUUGUGGUGAUAACAAUAACAAUAAUAAUAAACAUUUAUUUUGUGCUUAUAUGUACCAAUGUUUCAAAUGAAUUAUCUCAUUUAAGCAUCAAGGAAGAUGAUCUCAUUUCUAUACUUCAGAUUAUUUCCUCAGGUAAAAUUCCAAGAUGAGGGAUUCCCAGGUUACUGAAUUGCAUUUUGCAAAUUCAAGAUAUAAUUGUAUCCAAAAAGAUUAUAUCUGCUUAUGCUCAUACAUCAAUGCAUGAAAACACCUUUCACCCCAUAUUUUUGUCAGCA
Molecule: non-coding RNA, 1715 nt
Organism: Sus scrofa (pig)
Lineage: Eukaryota; Metazoa; Chordata; Mammalia; Artiodactyla; Suidae
Source: RefSeq, a predicted model, not a curated record